This 253-nucleotide ribosomal RNA is filed under the name uncultured bacterium. RNAcentral describes it as "partial 16S ribosomal RNA". It matches the Rfam family "Bacterial small subunit ribosomal RNA", at positions 524 to 776 of the family's 1533-position model. The record is from RNAcentral.
UACGUAGGGCGCAAGCGUUGUCCGGAUUCACUGGGUGUAAAGGGUGCGUAGGCGGGAGAGUAAGUCCGCGGUGAAAUCUCACGGCUCAACCGUGAAACUGCCGUUGAUACUGCUUUUCUUGAGUUCGGGAGAGGUUGAUGGAAUUCCAGGUGUAGCGGUGAAAUGCGUAGAUAUCUGGAAGAACACCAGUGGCGAAGGCGGUCAACUGGCCCGACACUGACGCUGAGGCACGAAAGCGUGGGGAGCGAACAGG